Molecule: long non-coding RNA, 890 nt
Organism: Terrapene triunguis (Three-toed box turtle)
Lineage: Eukaryota; Metazoa; Chordata; Testudines; Emydidae
Exons: 3
Source: RefSeq, a predicted model, not a curated record
CUCACCCCAGCUAGAUUGCUCAGACUGCCCAUAAAGACAGCUCAACCAUAUUUCUACUCUCCCAACAGAGAAGCUCAGCUUACAAACUCAUCUGUUCCUGCACUUCAGGGCAAUGCAUACUUACAUCCUAAGAAGGCAACUGCUGUGCAUGGCAUGAACUCCUUGAGCUGUGUAGAAGAUCUUCAGGACAUGUGAAGUAUCUGAGGGCCAACACGAUUAACAUCACUCACAUGUGGUUCAUCCUUUCCACAGUGGUGGAAUUGUGCGUACUGUGGAGUGUUUUGUUUCGGUAGGGUUUUUAUUUUGUUUUUGUAUACGCACUGCUAUAUGUUUGUGUUAGAGAAGGCAAGGUAGAAAAAGUGCACACUGUAUUUGUAGCAGAAGGUGAAGUUGGUGAUGAUCCCCAUUUCCUCUGGGAGUUCAUUCCAGUGUCUUGGACCAACCCCAAGAAAGCUCUGUCUCUGCACAUAGCCUUAUGAUAGAAAGUUCCAUUGUGCCUUUGGAAUGGAGUUUUCAGCCAUGGUCUUCUCCACCAGAGAUUAGAUUUUUUUUAGAUAUGCUGAGCCCAGAUCAUUGAGCACCUUAAAGAUAAGAACUGAGACCUUGAACUUAAUACCAACCAAAUUUCCUUCUGGGCAGGCUUUCUGCUAUUAGGGGUGCUCUAAUCUGGUUUACACUGAGGGCUUGUCUUCAUUACCGGGGAGAUCGACGCUGAUGCAAUCAAUGCAGCGGGUGUCGAUUUAGUGGGUCUAGUGAAGACCCGCUAAAAUGACGGCAGAGCGCUCUCCAGUCGACUCUGGUACUUCAGCUCCCUGAGAAGAGUAAGGUAAGUUGACUGGAGAGUGUCUCCAGUCAAUGCAGCGCAGUGAAGACACUGGGGAAAGUUGACC